RNAcentral lists this long non-coding RNA (508 nucleotides) under Solanum tuberosum (potato). RNAcentral describes it as "long non-coding RNA (STUB_LNC005642)". Lineage: Eukaryota; Viridiplantae; Streptophyta; Magnoliopsida; Solanales; Solanaceae. The record is from RNAcentral.
AUUCACAAGUUCAAGUGAUGUUAUUGCACAUUUCCAUUUCAACAUACAAAAAUUCAUGGAGUACAAUUGUAAUUUGUGACUAGAGGUCUGCUUUUGUGAUGGCAAUAUCAAACAUAGUUUCCUCAUUAAUCUUUUUCAUGAUGCAUUCAAAUAGUUCUCAAACUUAUACUAUGUGAAUGGUAACAAUUCAACGUAAAAAAUGAAGCGUCCACAACCUUCAAAUCCUGGAUCCACCACCGAGUAUAAUAAGCAAUAGUGAAAAGGUAUACGAAUAUCCAAGUCCAUUAAGGAAGAAUACACUUUCACACUCUUUUUCUUCUUCUUCUUUUCUUGUUUCUCAUUUUUUUCCCAUUGAAUAGAGUGUAUUGAACAUUAUUGACAAAUGACACACAUGAUAGCUUAAUUUGAAGCAUGAACUUCAGCAUCUUAACUUAGAUUUCCACUUGUAGCAUACUUAUCAAUUUGAGUGACAUCAAGUAUUUUGUCCAUUCCACUAGGCAAGAGAAAC